Molecule: ribosomal RNA, 276 nt
Filed under: Escherichia coli
Lineage: Bacteria; Pseudomonadati; Pseudomonadota; Gammaproteobacteria; Enterobacterales; Enterobacteriaceae
Description: partial 16S ribosomal RNA
Rfam family: Bacterial small subunit ribosomal RNA
Source: RNAcentral
AAAUUGAAGAGUUUGAUCAUGGCUCAGAUUGAACGCUGGCGGCAGGCCUAACACAUGCAAGUCGAACGGUAACAGAAAGAAGCUUGCUUCUUUGCUGACGAGUGGCGGACGGGUGAGUAAUGUCUGGGAAACUGCCUGAUGGAGGGGGAUAACUACUGGAAACGGUAGCUAAUACCGCAUAACGUCGCAAGACCAAAGAGGGGGACCUUCGGGCCUCUUGCCAUCGGAUGUGCCCAGAUGGGAUUAGCUAGUAGGUGGGGUAACGGCUCACCUAGG